Molecule: ribosomal RNA, 1416 nt
Filed under: Candidatus Nitrosopumilus sp. DDS1
Lineage: Archaea; Thermoproteati; Nitrososphaerota; Nitrososphaeria; Nitrosopumilales; Nitrosopumilaceae
Description: bacterial LSU rRNA
Rfam family: Archaeal large subunit ribosomal RNA
Source: RNAcentral
ACAACCAUCGUUGUAUCUAACUAUUCAAGGAUUGGGGAGUGUCGUAAUGACGAGAACCAGUCCGAGGUAGGAAUGGCUUCGCGUUAGCGAAGUUUUCUCGAAUCCAGGAGACCAUGAAAGACUGUGUAGUUAGCAAAAUGUAAGUUCGUACCCAGAACCGACACAGGUGCGCUGGCUUAGAAAGCUAAGGUGCUACGGGUAUACCGUAUGGCGAGGGAAUUCGGCAAAUUAGUCCUGUAGCUUAGGUAUAAGGGAUGCCUGCGGUCUUCAUGAGGAAUGGGGAUCGCAGGUUGCAAUGACAAGGGGGUUUCGACUGUUUAAUAAAAACACAGGCGACUGCUAGUCCGAAAGGAUUUGUAUAGUCGCUGAAUCCUGGCCGGUGCCGGUACCUAAAACUUGGGUUCAACCGAGCUAAGGGCCGGUUAACGCCGGGAGUAACUCUGACUCUCUUAAGGUAGCCAAAUGCCUUGUCGGGUAAGUUCCGACGCGCAUGAAUGGAACAACGAGAGCCCCACUGUCCCCGCCUACAACCCGGUGAAGCCACAUAAGGUGGACGAACAGUCCAUCAACUUCCAUCGGGGAGAGAAGACCCCGUGGAGUUUUACUGCAGCUUGUGCUUGUGGUAUAGUAAGAAUUGCACAGGGUAUCUGGGAGCCAUGCUUAACAUUCCCCGGGAUGUUAAGAAGCAACGAUGUAACACCAGACUCUUUUUGCAGUACCACUUAUCCAGUGAAGACCGGAGACACGUGCAGGUGGGCAGUUCGGCUGGGGCGGCACCCCUUUGAAAAGAUAUCAAAGGGGCCCAAAGUUGAGUUCAAACGGGGCAGAAAUCCGUUGAAGAGGGCAAAGCCAAAAACUCGACUGAAUGGAUUUCCAAACGCACGGAAUUCAUAGACGAAAGUCUGGCUUAGCGAUCCUUCGUGUGCCCACUAUUGGGGCCCGGAGGUGACAGAAAAAUUACCCCAGGGAUAACAGGCUCGUCGCGGGCGAGAGCUCCUAUCGACCCCGCGGUUUGGUACCUCGAUGUCGGCUUUUCCUAUCCUGGUCCUGCAGCAGGGGCCAAGGGUGAGGCUGCUCGCCUAUUAAAAGGGAACAUGAGCUGGGUUUAGACCGUCGUGAGACAGGUCGGUCUCUGCCUGAUGGAAGCGCGAAUAACUGAGGGGAAGUUGCUCUCAGUACGAGAGGAACAGAGCAGCGUGGCCACUGGUUUACCGGUUGUCUGAUAAGGCAGGCCGGGCAGCUAAGCCAUUUAGGCUAAGUGCUGAAAGCAUCUAAGCACGAAUCCUAUCCCGAGACAAGUUAUUCUUUCGUAAGAUGAAGGUCGGCAGCAGAAUACUGCGUUGAUAGGAAGGUGGUGUAGAUCACAAGCUUCGGCGAGUGGUGAGCCAGCCUUUACUAAUAGACCAACACAUCGGU